Molecule: long non-coding RNA, 1269 nt
Organism: Chenopodium quinoa (quinoa)
Lineage: Eukaryota; Viridiplantae; Streptophyta; Magnoliopsida; Caryophyllales; Amaranthaceae
Exons: 2
Source: RefSeq, a predicted model, not a curated record
AAGUGGAAGAUUAUGUCAGAGAGCUGUGUUUAGAGACGUUAUGCAACGACGUUUGUUCUUCUUUGACCAUGGUUAGAAGGAGUGAGUUAGUUUGGUAUUAUUUUUUUUCUCUUCAAUCCCUUAGCCUAAAACUGAAUUCUCAGUUCUCAGUUCCUUUACCGAUGUUCGUCGUUCUGUUGAAGCUUUAGCGAUCCUGGUUGUCGCACAUGUUGUAAAAUCUCCAUUAAGGAUUCAAUUUUUAGCAAGUGAUUGAGGCAGGGGGAUGGAAGAUUUGGACAGGGGAAGUGGAGUUGAAGAAUUGGAAGUCGUCAUUGGUUCUAACUUCUAAUCAAUUAAGUGCUCAUAAUCAAUUAAUGCAUGCUGAAAUACUGAAAACUCCCGACAGAGUUAGGAAUGUUGUUGUGGAUGGUGUUGGAAGUUCUAAUCAUAGGACCCCAUUACGCACUACAGAGAUUGUUCAUACCGUGUUUUGAGUGUUAUUGAGCCUCCUGCGGUCGGGAUGGUAUUUAAGACUUGGAAGGAUGUUGAAGCCUAUUACAAGGAAUAUGCUGAACAAAUGGGUUUUGGGGUUAGUAGGGUGCAAGGAUCAUUUUCAAAUAAGAAAGACUGCAUUGAAAGGGAGAGAAGGGGGACUACUUGGAGGUGUGAGUGUUGGGGUAGGCCGGACAUGAGGGCUGUGAGAGAGGCUAAGAAGAGAGCAAAAGCAAUGGGGGUGUGUGGUUCUGCGGGGGCUGUUGGUGGGAUUUUGGCAGACCAACAAUUGAAACAAGGCAAAAGGAAGUCUAAAAAGUGUGAGUGUGAAGCAAAGAUCUAUGCAAGUGUUAAUGAUGAAGGUGCGUGGGAAUUGAAAACUGUGGUACUGGGAAACGGCCACCUUUUGCUUCUGUAUUUAUGUAUUAAUGAUUGGAUGUGUAAUGGGUGACAUUAGUUGCUGUGGUUUUUGAAUGCCCCAUUGGAUUUAAGAUGCAUUAUUAGCUUGUUAACAAGUUGUAAUGGGUGACACUAGUUGUUGGUUUUUGAGUGCCCCAUUGGAUUUAAGAUGCAUUAGUACCUUGUUAACAACUUGUAAUGGGUGACAGUAGUUGCUGGUUUUUAAGUGGCCCAUUGGUUGGAUUAUGAUGCAUUAGCAGUAUAGACACUUCCUAGAUAUUAGGGUAAGCGUAUUCACCCCAGUAGUUGUGUUAGCGCUCUUUUGAAUGAAAUAUUGUGGGCUUUGAAGUGAAGUUGUAGUUGCAUUUUAACUUAAUUUGGAAACUUAGUAUUCUUCCC